AGAACAUUGGCUACAGUAAGAACAUACUCUGCAUCAGAGAGGGUUCAACAUUAACAACGUCUGUAAAAACAGAAUCACAGCUGUCAAGAAGAGGAGAUAUUCUAUGUUGUUAUUUAUGAUCUAAAAUAAAUCUUCAAAUUUGUUUAUGAUGGUAAAUAUGGGAAAACAAAGGACUUUUAAAAAUCAUGUAAAUUACAACAUAAAAAUCUGAAAGCACAACAUUUAUACAAAAUCAUUUGGCCAACUUGCUGGCAAUUAAGUUGGGAUACAAUGUGCUCAGGGUGAAAACAAGAUCAGAAAUUAAAACAAAGUAGCCAGAAAAAAUUGGAAAAGUUUUGGUUUUGGUUUUGGUUUUGGUUUUCCUGAGUACCUGGACCUGCAAUUCAGCUGAUCAUUAAACACAACCAGAAAGAAAGGCUCUAUUUUGCCUUUAGAGAGUUCAUCCAGAGACUGCACAAGGGAUUUGUACAGAAUAAAGCCUCACAAAACCCAAGGGCUGUCAGAGGGAAAUGGUAUCCAGGAGGACAGGGCAGGCCAAGCAUCCUCUCAACAGCAAAGCCACACAAGAGAGCCAGAGGCAGCACUGCGACUGCCAACACAACUGCCUAUUACGUCUGCCAAGGAGCCAGAAGCCGCUUGUGGGAAAAUAUCACUUACCCUUAGCAUCUGGGUCCUGUGAUUGUUAUCCAAAGAGACAGAGUGUGCUUUCUCCAUGUACUGUGAAACACAUCCAUCUGGAUCCACCUAUUUAAGCUACAUGCCUAGCCUCCAGAGUCAUCCAGACUUUUAGCAUAAGAACUCAAAUGAGAAAUCAUGAAGAAUGCAUUAACUGAAUCCAAUAUCACCUACAGGACCCUGGGCCCAUUGCACUUUGUAAUUGUAUUACUUUUCUUCUGGUUAUCUUCAUAGGAUCUUAGGUAUACUCUCUCUGAAAAGUGUUAAAGACAACUUCUCCCUGGGCCUGAGAAUAAAUUAUCUUUUUCCUAUCGCUGUA
Molecule: long non-coding RNA, 994 nt
Organism: Homo sapiens (human)
Lineage: Eukaryota; Metazoa; Chordata; Mammalia; Primates; Hominidae
Product: long intergenic non-protein coding RNA 2032
Source: Ensembl